Molecule: long non-coding RNA, 848 nt
Filed under: Homo sapiens (human)
Lineage: Eukaryota; Metazoa; Chordata; Mammalia; Primates; Hominidae
Description: HSALNT0333678
Source: RNAcentral
CUCAUUUUCUCUUGCCGCCACUGUGUAAGAAGUGCCUUUUGUCUCCCUCCGUGAUUCUGAGGCCUCCCCAGCCAUGUGGAACUAUGGAGCACCUGGCCAGCUGUCUCAUUUUAAAUCAUAUACCAAGCAUGACCUGAGUGUAAUCUCUAACAUGAAUCACAGCUUCUGCCUCAUUGGUUUGCCAGAACCGCAGGCACAAAUGGAUGAGAGGAGACACCUAUGAACAUGGAGCCAGAAUACCCCAAUUGCUGAAACACCAGUUCAGAGAGGAGUGAGCUUGAGAAAGAGUCAGGUUUAGUGUCCCACGGAAAGAGACCAGACCUGGAAAAGACAGAGUCAAAGCUGGGUGAGCAGGCCUUCGAAGGGCGUGGCUCAGCAAAGAUAAUCCAUAUUGUAGUGCAAGAGGAUUCUUGUGGAAUAUGUUUUACCAGAAUUAAACCAAAAAUGCCAAAUGAUCCCUAACUGGAAUAAAUCUCACCACAUUACCUGGGGAGAGGUGUCAUUUGGAUGUGAGGAUAGUUAUGAAAAUACUGAGCAGAGCAGAUGAGGAUAGGCCAUCAACAAUUCACAUUAAAUGAGAUUACUUUUUAGUAGGACUAAGCCAAAGCAUUUCCACUAAGCACCCAGAGACCAGCCCUAAAGACUCAAGAAUAAGAGAAAAUGAUGUAACUGCAGAUGGAAGGACCACUGAGGACCACAUCACUGCAGACCCAGGGACCACCGAGGACUCUGUCACUGCAGACCCAGGGACCACUGAGGACAAUGUGACUGUGGACCCAGGGACCACCGAGGGCUCUGUCACUGCAGACCCAGCGACCACCAAGGACUAUGUGUCUGCAGACCCAGGG